Molecule: long non-coding RNA, 809 nt
Filed under: Triticum aestivum (bread wheat)
Lineage: Eukaryota; Viridiplantae; Streptophyta; Magnoliopsida; Poales; Poaceae
Description: long non-coding RNA (TAES_LNC002281)
Source: RNAcentral
AUGUACAUAUAUAGUAGCUACAAAGGAUCCAACGCUUGCUCGGCAGCACAUGAUACUUUUCUUGGAGCAGCUCGUGGUCCGAGAUUUUCCCUGCAUUGCCACAAGAGUUGUUAACAUAGUGUAAUCGGCGACGGGAAGGUAGACAAUUUGAAUAGUUGCUAUGUGUUGCUUUACCGUUUGUUAUUGCAGCAUAGAUGUUAGUCGACCUCUUCCAUGCCUGUUUCUGGUUUGACUUUGACGUAAUCUGGCCCGAGGACUUUGUUCAAGAGAAACCAUGCGAGAUUUUCUACUCUUGUCUCCGGAGGGUUUUUGCCUGUGUAUCUUAGCUCUCCGGUAAACAUUUGUGCUUCUUCGGUGGGCGGUGGAAUUAUUUCUAUAGGGAGUGUGUCAUGUAGCAUCCUAGCACAUGUGCGAGGCGUGACAGUGUUGUAUCUUGCUGCUGACGCACGAUCUUGUUUUCAUAGAGGAAUUGGAUAUUCUCUCGGUGGAAAUCCUCCAGCGUGGCGGUAGCGCUGUCCAGCUGGGUGUGUGCUUUGUUCAAUGAGUGGUAGUUUGCAUCGUCGAUAACUAUGUGCUUGCUUUUGGCGAUAGUUUUGAUUGCGUCUUAUGCUGCCUCAUCUAUUUUUCCUAUUGCUGAAUAGAAAGUGUUUGGUAGGAGUGUGAAAUGCGUCUGAAGCAGGGAUUAAUAUUUCAUACCAGCCUACAUAUUUGUUGCUCUCUCGUGGCGCGGCUCCGCUUGAAAGGAUGCAAGUCUGAGUUGCGGCGCAUAUUUCUUCGAGCAUUUUUUUUUCUGGAGAGCUUGAGUACCU